CGAAGGGUGCAAACGUUGCUCGGAAUUAUUGGGCGUAAAGCGCACGUAGGCGGCUUUGUAAGUUGGAUGUGAAAACCCUCGGCUCAACCAAGGAAGUGCAUCCAAAACUGCGAAGCUUGAGUACUUAAGAGGAUCGCGGAAUUCCCGGUGUAGAGGUGAAAUUCGUAGAUAUCGGGAGGAACACCAGUGGCGAAGGCGGCGAUCUGGGAAGAUACUGACGCUGAGGUGCGAAAGCGUGGGGAGCAAACGGGAUUAGAUACCCUGGUAGUCCACGCCGUAAACGAUGAGUGCUAGGUGCUGUGGGUAUUGACCCCCGCGGUGCCGCAGCCAACGCGUUAAGCACUCCGCCUGGGGAGUACGGCCGCAAGGCUA
This 372-nucleotide ribosomal RNA is filed under the name uncultured organism. RNAcentral's name for it is "bacterial SSU rRNA". It matches the Rfam family "Bacterial small subunit ribosomal RNA", at positions 526 to 896 of the family's 1533-position model. The record is from RNAcentral.